GGUGGGAGCGGGCUUGCUCGCGAUGGGAUCGCCGCGGUGUAUCAGGUACACCACAGCGAUCUCAUCGCGAGCAAGCCCGCUCCCACA
This 87-nucleotide unclassified non-coding RNA is filed under the name Pseudomonas fragi. Lineage: Bacteria; Pseudomonadati; Pseudomonadota; Gammaproteobacteria; Pseudomonadales; Pseudomonadaceae. The record is from RNAcentral.